UCAAACUUGAGGUCCCUGGAAACCACUCAGGAAUUGUAAGCAAGGAAGAAUUAGCCCGAUCGUGCCUCCGGAAGAUCCCUCGGUCCGAAUGGUGGAGAAGUGGUCAGAAGGAAGAGCCACAGGUAGACGAGAAACAGCUGAGACACAGUGGCAGUGCCUAGGCCAGAGGAAGGAGGCCGACCUCCCAGGACCUCUUCUCCUGCCUCCCACCAAAUCCCUCCGUGUUCAGAGCUGCAGAGACCGCCAGUCCCCUCCCACGCACGUGUCCCCUCAGCUUCACAGUAAGUCACCUGCGGGCAACACAUCCCGGUUUCUCCCACCUAGGCUGGGGAGGCCCUGGGUCAGCGCUGGGGCCGGGAUCGACACCCAGGUCUCCGAUAACUGGUCCAGGCCUGUGUCCCUGCAGCCGGGUAACACAGUGACAGAGAAGGAGGCUUGGGGCGUGCCAUCGAGGUGCCAAACCUGGCCCCGCGACUUAGUAGCUGAUGCCGUGAGUGAUUUGCUUAAUCUCUCUCUGUGCCUCGGUUUCCCCAACUGCGAGAAGAGGGUUUUAACAAAAGUAGCUACCCCACCGGUGGGUUUGUAGAUUGAAUGAGUGGUUACAGGAAGCCACUUAACCUGAUACCUGUCCUGUAGCAGGUGUUCAGAGAAUUCCAACGAUAAUCGCUGGUAGCCAGGGUGUUUCCCCGGCCUGGGCGAGGGGAAAACCAGUCACUAAGUUGGGCCCCAGGUUCAAGGGGAAGGGAAUCAGGCUGCACUUUCGAAAAAAGGAAUGUCAACGAAUAAUGGGCACGUUCUAAAAGCCUCCUAUUUGGCACCUCUGUGUGAUGAAAUGCCACCUAAUUGUUACUAGCCAUGGUGGCAGCCGGGCUGAGCACACGAGCUGGCCUCCCCCCAAACCCCUGCUCUUAAGCAUCAUCUCAUGGUGCACGUUAAGCCGCGUGGGUGAAAUCACACACCUUCUCUCUCCAAGGGCAGCAGCAGGAGCCUCUGUUAGUCUGACACCUCUGUGCCCAGACCUCAAGGGAACCAGAUCUGCCUCCCCAGGGCCGGCGUGGGCCACCCCCCCCCCACCACCGUCUGCUUGCUGAGUGCCGGGCUCUGAGUCUGAGAGGCGGCCUUGCCUUCCCAGCCGCCCAGUGACAGUGAAGAAUGACAGGCUCUCCGUUCAAGGGUGCGCACCGGCCCUUAUCAUGGGAGAGUGAUGUCUGCAGCACUGAGCCGCAGAUCCCGCUUGCCCGGUCAGCACUCUGCGGUGGGCAGGGCAGCCGCAAGACGCAGACACCGCACUUGACAAACUCCCCGGGGGCAGGGCAGCCGGGCAGGAGCAGAAUGAAAUCAGAAGGGAGGGAGACGGGCCCGGCGUCUUGACCGGGCUCCAGGAGAGGAAUCUAAGAGGGAGAAAAUGGGUGGCCUUGGUCAUAAAGGGAAUUGAUUGGCCAGGGACCUGCUGAGGUCAGUAGAAUGACCUUGGCUGGCCCUGCUUCCUGGAGAAACGGCGUCCUCGGAGACUUCGACUCACCUAGGUUCAAUUAGCCAAGAAGCUGUGCUGGGCCCGGAAGAGGCGGGCGGAGGCUUUCCAAUUA
This 1586-nucleotide long non-coding RNA is filed under the name Felis catus (domestic cat). Its description in RNAcentral is "lncRNA (ENSFCAG00000048543.1)". Lineage: Eukaryota; Metazoa; Chordata; Mammalia; Carnivora; Felidae. The record is from RNAcentral.